This 263-nucleotide long non-coding RNA is filed under the name Elaeis guineensis (African oil palm). Its description in RNAcentral is "long non-coding RNA (EGUI_LNC062078)". The record is from RNAcentral. Lineage: Eukaryota; Viridiplantae; Streptophyta; Magnoliopsida; Arecales; Arecaceae.
UGUCGGGAUUCUUCCGAGAUGGUGUUAGCGAAAUCCGUCGGAGGUCGAUUGUCCGACCGCUCUAUGCCGGCGGCUGUUGCCGGAGGAUGUGGGGCCUGAGAAACUAGAGGCAGAGCCGGAGCCUGAGAUCUGGCCGUGGAGGCCGUGGGUCGCCGUGUGGAUGCUUCGUGAGAAGGCAUCGGGUGAGGAUCUAGCGGGGGAAGGAGGAGAAGAUGCCGAAAAAGAUGAUCGGAGGUGGUCCCAUUGAGCGCUCCUUUAAGAAC